GUGGCUGUAGCCAAGUGGUGAAGGCCCCGCGCUGUGACCGCGGUAUGCGUGGGUUCGAAUCCCAUCAGUCACCCCA
RNAcentral lists this transfer RNA (76 nucleotides) under Rhodoferax sp. RNAcentral's name for it is "tRNA-His". It matches the Rfam family "tRNA". Rfam says of the family: Transfer RNA (tRNA) molecules are approximately 80 nucleotides in length. Their secondary structure includes four short double-helical elements and three loops (D, anti-codon, and T loops). Further hydrogen bonds mediate the characteristic L-shaped molecular structure. tRNAs have two regions of fundamental functional importance: the anti-codon, which is responsible for specific mRNA codon recognition, and the 3' end, to which the tRNAs corresponding amino acid is attached (by aminoacyl-tRNA synthetases). tRNAs cope with the degeneracy of the genetic code in two manners: having more than one tRNA (with a specific anti-codon) for a particular amino acid; and 'wobble' base-pairing, i.e. permitting non-standard base-pairing at the 3rd anti-codon position. Lineage: Bacteria; Pseudomonadati; Pseudomonadota; Betaproteobacteria; Burkholderiales; Comamonadaceae. The record is from RNAcentral.